CAUGGUCUUAGCUUGCUAAGGCCGAUGGCGACCGGCGCACGGGUGAGUAACACGUAUCCAACCUGCCGUCUACUCUUGGACAGCCUUCUGAAAGGAAGAUUAAUACAAGAUGGCAUCAUGAGUCCGCAUGUUCACAUGAUUAAAGGUAUUCCGGUAGACGAUGGGGAUGCGUUCCAUUAGAUAGUAGGCGGGGUAACGGCCCACCAAGGCAACGAUGGGUAGGGGUUCUGAGAGGAAGGUCCCCACAUUGGAACUGAGACACGGUCCAAACUCC
This 274-nucleotide ribosomal RNA is filed under the name uncultured Bacteroides sp. RNAcentral's name for it is "partial 16S ribosomal RNA". It matches the Rfam family "Bacterial small subunit ribosomal RNA", at positions 70 to 339 of the family's 1533-position model. The record is from RNAcentral. Lineage: Bacteria; Pseudomonadati; Bacteroidota; Bacteroidia; Bacteroidales; Bacteroidaceae.